AGCAGAGGCUUCUGGGAGCUUAGAUGGCUGAAGCUGAUGAGGCUGUUUUCUCCGAUAAUUUGACAGGACUCACUCUCUCAAAAGCUCUAAUGAAAGACCCCAUUGGCUUUGUCCCGGCCCCAAACUGGAUACCUGGGAUAUUAGAGCAGUUAGAUCAGAGUCACCUGACCGAGAGCAAACCAGCAAACGAGAUGGACAGAGCCAUGGUGGCUUGAAGACUGGCUAAUGGAGAGUGCUCUGUGCAAAGCAAAGUCUGGUACACAGAGCUGCGGGGCCACCUCAUCUUAAGGAUGUGUGAGCAAGCACUUGGGAGAGGCUGAAGGCAAGAAUAUACUUUCUCUGCCUUCAUUUUCUCCUUCAACCCGGCGACUGCAGCAGAGAGAAAGCACUGCGUUCCAGACCAUAAGUUAGCAUGGCCCGCCCUGCCCUCACCCAUCCUGCAGGUCCCAUCACAUCUGCCUCCAGCCACCUGCCCUCUGCCGCAGCGCAGACCCAGUGCCCACACUUGCCCACACCUACCCACUCCGUGACGCUCCUUGUCAGUUUUGCGCCAGGGGGCCAUGGCAAGACCGGAGCCUUGAGAGCCUCCUGUUCUCUAGUGAAGAAGCUGGCUGGGGUGGUUAGGCGCCUUGCAGGGCCCCACUUCCUUCCUCUUUUUAAACUCUCUCUCUCUCAAGGUCCGCCUUCCCCUCCUCUGGGUCCCCACUCCCUCCUCCCCCUUCUUCUCCAGCAGGGGCACACACAGCCAAGGGCUAGAAGAUUGCCUUCAAAAUUUGGAGACCACCCUCAUUUGUCUCUUCCGGAGGAAAGUGGCUACAAGGCAUACAGGGAGAGGCACUAUUAGGAGGUGUGGCCUUGUUGGAGGAAGUGUGGCACUUUCAAGAUCUUCAUCCUAGCUGCCUGGAAGCCAGUCUUCUCCUAUUUGCCUUCAGAACAAGAUGUUGAACUCUCAGAUCCUCUAGCGCCAUGCCUGCUUGGGUGCUGCCAUGCUCUGACCUUGAUGAUAAUGGACUGAACCUCUGAACCUGGGCCUAUCAUGACUGCCCAGUGAGCAGCUGAAAAAAUCAAAUGUAGAUGUUUAUACCCAACCAAUGGACAGAAGCUGGUGACCCCUGUGGUUGAAUUACAGAAAAGCUGGAAGAA
Molecule: long non-coding RNA, 1143 nt
Organism: Mus musculus (house mouse)
Lineage: Eukaryota; Metazoa; Chordata; Mammalia; Rodentia; Muridae
Product: predicted gene, 53681
Exons: 3
Source: RefSeq, a predicted model, not a curated record